This 210-nucleotide ribosomal RNA is filed under the name Triticum aestivum (bread wheat). Its description in RNAcentral is "partial small subunit ribosomal RNA". Lineage: Eukaryota; Viridiplantae; Streptophyta; Magnoliopsida; Poales; Poaceae. The record is from RNAcentral.
GUGGCACGCAAGACAACUUCAACACUUCUCGUGCUUGUUUAUUGUGAUCUUUGGAAGGAGCACAAUGUGAGAGUCUUCAACAACAAAUCUUCGUCGUCGACCAUUGUCUUUUUGCGCAUUCGCUUUGAGUCUAAAAAUUGGGUCUUGGCGUGGGCCAAAAGCUUGGGUAAUAUUAUGCCAGGAGAGCAGACUUUUGUUUCUGGCCUUUAG